UGAAGACAGGUUCCAAAAGGCAGAUGCUUCUGCAUCACAACUGUCAGGAGGCGACAAGAGAGUAGCACCUCCCUCGGAGCCUUACAGCCAGUUAGCAGACACACGUGGUUGGAAGUUGACUCCACAAAUCUGUGUUUGGUUUGAAUACUGGCAGCGGUACAUUCAAGACAAAGACAACUAACAAAAUCGCUUCGGAAGCUAGUUUUUCAUCUAGUGAAGGAAGUCGUUUGUCAAGGUAAAGUCGUGAAAGCCUGU
This is a long non-coding RNA of Diceros bicornis minor, 255 nucleotides long. RefSeq lists it as uncharacterized. The record is from RefSeq and is a predicted model, not a curated record. The transcript is spliced from 3 exons. Lineage: Eukaryota; Metazoa; Chordata; Mammalia; Perissodactyla; Rhinocerotidae.